RNAcentral lists this unclassified non-coding RNA (212 nucleotides) under rhizosphere metagenome. RNAcentral describes it as "partial ribosomal RNA internal transcribed spacer region". The record is from RNAcentral.
GUAGGUGAACCUGCGGAAGGAUCAUUACCGAGUUCAUGCCCUUCGGGGUAGAUCUCCCACCCUUUGUAUACUAUACCUUUGUUGCUUUGGCGGGCCGCCUAGCUACUGGCUUCGGCUGGAUCGUGCCCGCCAGAGGACCACAACUCUGUAUUAAAUGUCGUCUGAGUACUAUAAAAUAGUUAAAACUUUCAACAACGGAUCUCUUGGUUCUG